This 1399-nucleotide unclassified non-coding RNA is filed under the name Hevea brasiliensis (rubber tree). The record is from RNAcentral. Lineage: Eukaryota; Viridiplantae; Streptophyta; Magnoliopsida; Malpighiales; Euphorbiaceae.
CAAUCCUGUCACUUGUUCCUAGACGAGGUUCAUGCAAUAUAACCUUGGCACCUGAGAUCUGAUUAAGGAACACCAGAUGAUGAGCUGACGUUGGCUUUAAAAAUAUAUACUGUGUAAAAUGGCUUAAGGGUGAAACAGUCUUUGAACAAUUAGACUUAAUUAUUAUUAAAAGAAGAUUCAGGAAUAAAUUAAAUAUAAAAAUUGCAUAUAUUGUCAUCAGGAGGACAGGACUUAUUUCAAUGCUCAAAUACCAUCCAUAAGAGGCUUAGAAGUUUCAGAAUGAUUUCAUGUUUCUUGAUGCAAAUAAAAUCCCAAACAUUAAGAUAAAAGUUCCUAAGUUGUGGUUCCUUUUGUUUUCCCCAUUGACAAUUUACAAUUAGAAUUGCAAGUCUUUCAUUUAAAUUUCUAUUUUUACUUCAUACAUUUCAAAGUAUAUAUGUAGAACAAUGUGAUUAACGGUUCACUGGGCCUGUUUCGAAGGAUUUUCAAUUGGUUUCCAGGAAUGAGGUUUGUUUGGUAGACAGAUAGCUGAAAUUGCAGUUGUUCUAGAGUUGUAGUGGACUAUAAAGUUAAUCGGUUCUAAUGGUUUUGGAUUUAGGAAGGCUAUCAGUUUGAUUGUAUAAUUGUUUUAUCGUUUCGCUUCACAAUUUUGGCUACAGAUAAUGGAAUAAUAAGUUUUAUUAUCUUGAGAGUAAAUAUGAUUCAUGUUUUCAUCUUUUCAUUGACUAACAAAUUUGAAUUUACUUUACUUAAAAUAUGGAAAUCUUUAUAUACCAAAAUUUAUAAGGUGUGUAAAUGAUUUUCCUCCAAGUUCUUAUGUUGAUCACGUCUUUGCUUCUGAUUUAAAUGGUAACAAAUUACGGCUAUCCAUGCUAUCAAAAAAAAUUCUCAAAGAUUUCUUUUCAUAAUUCAGAGUGUAUUCAUAGAAGAUAGUGCAAAAAAACCAAAUUAGCCAGAAUUGCAUAAUUUUAAAAUAUGAGAAGAAACUUUUUCUCUUUUUUGGUUGGUGUGUGUGUCUAUGUAAAAUGUAACUUACAACCAAAUAACAAAGAUAAAUGAUUAGCAUUUAAAGCAGAAAAAAGGGAGGAAUUCUGAUAAAGGAAUCUUGGGCUUGAUCCCGGAUAAAAAAGAGGGAAGGGGAGAGGAGUUGGGGGGGAGCUAAGGGAUGUCAAUUGUCAAGAAAACACAUUAAUUAUUUGUGAAAUUGUUAGCAUCAGAUAAAGCAAAAGUAAGCAAGCAAAGAAGAGUUGGAUACUAACAGCAGAAUUAUCAGAAGCUAUCGGAUGUCAAGUAUAAAGAUGAAUUCAUAUUGAUUAACUAAUGCAAUUAAAAUAGAAGCAAAACUAUAAGACAAAAUCAGACAGCAAGUAGGUACCUGUCUUAAACGAGCCAGAUUGCU